GCAUGUCUAAGUAUAAGCAAAUUAUACCGUGAAACUGCGAAUGGCUCAUUAAAUCAGUUAUCGUUUAUUUGAUAGUACCUUACUACUUGGAUAACCGUGGUAAUUCUAGAGCUAAUACAUGCUGAAAACCCCGACUUCGGGAGGGGUGUAUUUAUUAGAUAAAAAACCAAUGCCCUCCGGGGCUCCUUGGUGAUUCAUAAUAACUUAACGGAUCGCAUGGCCUUGCGCCGGCGACGGUUCAUUCAAAUUUCUGCCCUAUCAACUUUCGAUGGUAAGGUAUUGGCUUACCAUGGUUUCAACGGGUAACGGGAGAUUAGGGUUUGACUCCGGAGAGGGAGCCUGAGAAACGGCUACCACAUCCAAGGAAGGCAGCAGGCGCGCAAAUUACCCAAUCCCGACACGGGGAGGUAGUGACAAUAAAUACUGAUACAGGGCUCUUUUGGGUCUUGUAAUUGGAAUGAGUACAAUUUAAACCCCUUAACGAGGAACAAUUGGAGGGCAAGUCUGGUGCCAGCAGCCGCGGUAAUUCCAGCUCCAAUAGCGUAUAUUAAAGUUGUUGCAGUUAAAAAGCUCGUAGUUGAACCUUGGGCCUGGCUGGCCGGUCCGCCUCACCGCGUGCACUGGUCCGGCCGGGCCUUUCCUUCUGGAGAGCCCCAUGCCCUUCACUGGGUGUGCGGGGGAACCAGGACUUUUACUUUGAAAAAAUUAGAGUGUUCAAAGCAGGCCUUUGCUCGAAUACGUUAGCAUGGAAUAAUAGAAUAGGACGUGCGGUCCUAUUUUGUUGGUUUCUAGGACCGCCGUAAUGAUUAAUAGGGAUAGUCGGGGGCAUCCGUAUUCAAUUGUCAGA
Molecule: ribosomal RNA, 847 nt
Filed under: Fissuroma neoaggregatum
Lineage: Eukaryota; Fungi; Ascomycota; Dothideomycetes; Pleosporales; Aigialaceae
Description: SSU rRNA
Rfam family: Eukaryotic small subunit ribosomal RNA
Source: RNAcentral